CAGCAGCAGCCACGGGAAUACGAAGGGUGCAAGCGUUACUCGGAAUUACUGGGCGUAAAGCGUGCGUAGGUGGUGGUUUAAGUCCGUUGUGAAAGCCCUGGGCUCAACCUGGGAAUUGCAGUGGAUACUGGGUCACUAGAGUGUGGUAGAGGAUAGUGGAAUUUCCGGUGUAGCAGUGAAAUGCGUAGAGAUCGGAAGGAACAUCUGUGGCGAAGGCGACUAUCUGGGCCAACACUGACACUGAGGCACGAAAGCGUGGGGAGCAAACAGGAUUAGAUACCCCGGUAGUCCCUGUCUCUUAUAC
Molecule: ribosomal RNA, 304 nt
Filed under: uncultured bacterium
Lineage: Bacteria
Description: partial 16S ribosomal RNA
Rfam family: Bacterial small subunit ribosomal RNA
Source: RNAcentral